Molecule: ribosomal RNA, 460 nt
Filed under: uncultured bacterium
Lineage: Bacteria
Description: partial 16S ribosomal RNA
Rfam family: Bacterial small subunit ribosomal RNA
Source: RNAcentral
CCUACGGGUGACAGCAGUGAGGAAUAUUGGUCAAUGGACGAGAGUCUGAACCAGCCAAGUAGCGUGAAGGAUGACUGCCCUAUGGGUUGUAAACUUCUUUUAUAAAGGUAUAAAACGAGGCACGUGUGCCUUUUUGCAUUUACUUUAUGAAUAAGGAUCGUCUAACUCAGUGCCAGCAGCCGCGGUAAUAUGGAGGAUCCGAGCGUUAUCCGGAUUUAUUUGGUUUAAAGGGAGCGUAGAUGGGGUGGUAAGUCCGUUGUGAAAGUUUGCGGCUCAACCGUAAAAUUGCAAUUGAUACUGGCAGUCUUGAGUACAGUUGAGGUAGGGGGAAUUCGUGGUGUAGCGGUGAAAUGCUUAGAUAGCACGAAGAACCCCGAUUGCGAAGGCAGCUUACUAAACUGUGACUGACAUUGAUGCUCGAAAGUGUGGGUAUCAAACAGGAUUAGAGACCCCUGUAGGC